AAAGGGGCGAGGACUGAGUGAUCUCGUUCUCUCGUGCUCCGACUUUGCAGCCAUGCAUGUGGGAAGAACUCGCUAUUGCUGUAUGGCACUCCUUAGCCAUCCGCCUUGAGUGUAAGCUGUCAUGCCUCGUGUGUACGGCUUUUCUCUUAUACCUUUUUUGCCAGAUAGACCAGGUUACCGCCGUGUACGAUAUCGGAAUGGUGCUUCCGUGCGUAAUCCUUCCCUGCGUGUUACAGGUAACCACUUGGAAUCUGCGUAACUGGCCAAGCUAUAAAGCAUUUUGACUUUCUGGGAAAGAGCUGGGACGGACCAACUACAUGGCAUGCCUUUUAAAGUUUCUUCAAGCAGCGUUCCUACAUUUGCACUUGUAGGUGAGCUGUUGGCACACAGAUGAUUCAGGAGCAAAAGUGCCAAAGUGAAGGAUCUGCCAGUUUUAAAAUUGGGCAAGCUGCCAAUAUCUGGAUGUUUCUGGAGCUUGUGUUCUCUACCUGUUGCAUAUUGUAACUUCCUUCAAUAAAACAUUGUACCCAUGGUACAUUUUUCAAACUAAA
Molecule: long non-coding RNA, 551 nt
Organism: Spea bombifrons (plains spadefoot toad)
Lineage: Eukaryota; Metazoa; Chordata; Amphibia; Anura; Pelobatidae
Exons: 7
Source: RefSeq, a predicted model, not a curated record